GGAUAGCUCGGUCGGUAGAUCACAAGGCUCGUAAUCUCGGGUUCGUGGGUUCGAGCCCCACGUUGGGCA
Podarcis lilfordi (Lilford's wall lizard) is the source of this 69-nucleotide non-coding RNA. The record is from the annotation of a GenBank genome assembly. Lineage: Eukaryota; Metazoa; Chordata; Lepidosauria; Squamata; Lacertidae.